This 29-nucleotide non-coding RNA is filed under the name Rattus norvegicus (Norway rat). The record is from RNAcentral. Lineage: Eukaryota; Metazoa; Chordata; Mammalia; Rodentia; Muridae.
UGAGACAUUUCUUUGCUUAUAUUAUAUCC